RNAcentral lists this unclassified non-coding RNA (338 nucleotides) under soil metagenome. RNAcentral's name for it is "partial contains 5.8S ribosomal RNA, internal transcribed spacer 2, and large subunit ribosomal RNA". The stretch from base 1 to 119 matches the Rfam family "5.8S ribosomal RNA", at positions 35 to 154 of the family's 154-position model. The record is from RNAcentral.
GAUGAAGAACGUAGCGAAAUGCGAUACGUAAUGUGAAUUGCAAAUUCAGUGAAUCAUCGAAUCUUUGAACGCACAUUGCACCUCUCGGUAUUCCGGGAGGUAUGCCUGUUCGAGCGUCAUUUGUACCCUCAAGCUCUGCUUGGUGUUGGGUGUUUGUUCCGCCUCUGUGUGUGAACUCGCCUCAAAACAAUUGGCAGCCGGCGUACUUGUUUCGGAGCGCAGCACAUUUUGCGAUCCGGAUCAACGUACAGCGGCAUCCAAGAAGCCUUAUUUAACGCUCUUGACCUCGGAUCAGGUAGGGAUACCCGCUGAACUUAAGCAUAUCAAUAAGCGGAGGA